Molecule: ribosomal RNA, 41 nt
Filed under: Colletotrichum kniphofiae
Lineage: Eukaryota; Fungi; Ascomycota; Sordariomycetes; Glomerellales; Glomerellaceae
Description: partial 28S ribosomal RNA
Source: RNAcentral
GUUGACCUCGGAUCAGGUAGGACUACCCGCUGAACUUAAGC